This 1375-nucleotide long non-coding RNA is filed under the name Amborella trichopoda. RNAcentral describes it as "long non-coding RNA (ATRI_LNC003617)". Lineage: Eukaryota; Viridiplantae; Streptophyta; Magnoliopsida; Amborellales; Amborellaceae. The record is from RNAcentral.
UACAGAAGUGUCAUUGACAGUCUAAAAUAUCUCACAUUUACACGUCCUGAUAUUGCUUAUACAGUGAAUACAAUGUGUCAAUUUACGCAAACUCUUAGACAACCUCAUUGGGAAGCCACCAAAAGAAUUUUGAGGUAUUUAAAGGGUAUUAUACGUGAUGACAUGUUCUAUACUUCUUCAAACUCACCUGAUCCCAAAGCAUAUUCUGAUGCUGAUGGGCGGGGUGCCCUAAUGAUCGUCGGUUCAUUACAUGAUUUUGUAUCUUCUUGGGAAAGAGUUUAAUUUCCUGAAGAAGCAAAAAACGAUAUCAAAAUCUAGUACAGAGUCAGAAUAUCAAGCAAUGAGUAUUGUAGCUCUAUACUUCUUCAAACUCGCCUGAUCCCAAAGCAUAUUCUGAUGCUGAUUGGGCGGGGUGCCCUAAUGAUCGUCGGUUCAUUACAGGAUUUUGUAUCUUCUUGGGAAAUAGUUUAAUUUCCUAGAGAAGCAAAAAACGAUAUCAAAAUCUAGUGCAGAGUCGGAAUAUCAAGCAAUGAGUAUUGUAGCAGCAGAAAUCACUUGGCUACGCAUGCUUCUUAAAGAAAUUGGAGUUGCCACAAUUAAGCCAAUCAUUCUAAGUUGUGAUAAUCGAAGUGCCAUGCGAUUAGCCAUCAAUCAUGUCUUUCAUGCUCGCACCAAACACAUAAAAGUUGAUUAUCAUUUCAUUAAAGAGAAGGUAGUAUCAUGACAUUUGUUCUUUCAUCAAUUUGUAGGCAUAUUUACUAAGGCACUUACAAGAUCAAGACACGAAAAGUCCAUAGCUAAGCUCUGAAUGCACAAGAUGCAUGCUUGGCUUUAAGGGGUUGUUAGAGAGAGACUUGUCUUUUGAAAUAUUGUAUAGGGCUUUAAUCAUUCUUUUAUUCUUUAUCUUUAAGGGUAAAUAUGUCCAUUGUAUACAUAAGUAUACUACAUACUUAAUCUAAAGAGGUAUGAAAUGGAUGGUGGUGUCCUCUUCAAUAUCUCUCUUUAGGGUUUCAUAAGUUUAACAUACUAUAAUAUUCCCAAAAUAAAGGAAAAAAAAAAAUUCCAGGUGGAAGCCCAUCUACCUCUCUUUCAAUUUGUUAACGUAAUAAGAAGUUAAGAGAGAGAGAGAGAGAGAGAGAGAGAGAGAGAAUUGGUGGUGGUGGUGGUGGUGUGGGUGGUGUUAUAAAGGUUGGGAGGGAAGCGGCGGAGAAGGAGAAGGGGAAAGGGAUGGAGGCGAUAGUGGAAGAAUGUUUCUGCAACAAGGAAGAAACCCUACUAACGGUGCUAAAGACUUCGGUGUUCUUUGCAGGAGAUGGAUUCGCGGUGUAUGACCCCAUGGGACAGCUAUUGUUCCGAGUUGAUAGCUAUGGGGGGC